Molecule: ribosomal RNA, 899 nt
Filed under: uncultured archaeon
Lineage: Archaea
Description: bacterial SSU rRNA
Rfam family: Archaeal small subunit ribosomal RNA
Source: RNAcentral
CGGUUGAUCCUGCCGGACCCUACUGCUAUCGGGGUGGGACUAAGACAUGCGAGUUGAGCGUCUCUAAGCUAUGGUAGAGACGCGGCGUACGGCUCAGUAACACGUGGCUAACCUACCCUUAGGACGGGGACAACCCCGGGAAACUGGGGCUAAUACCCGAUAGGCGAGGAGGCCUGGAAUGGUUCCUAGUCGAAAAGGCGUUGAAACCAUGCUUUUCGACGUCGCCUAAGGAUGGGGCCGCGCCCGAUCAGGUUGUUGGUGGGGUAACGGCUCACCAAGCCUAUAACCGGUACGGGCCGUGAGAGCGGGAGCCCGGAGAUGGGCACUGAGACAAGGGCCCAGGCCCUACGGGGCGCAGCAGUCGCGAAAACUCCGCAAUGCGCGAAAGCGUGACGGGGCUACCCCGAGUGCCGUCCGCUGAGGAUGGCUUUUCCCCGGUGUAAUGAGCCGGGGGAAUAAGGAGAGGGCAAGUCUGGUGUCAGCCGCCGCGGUAAUACCAGCUCUCCGAGUGGUAGGGAUGAUUAUUGGGCUUAAAGCGUCCGUAGCCGGCUUAGCAAGUCUCCUGUUAAAUUCAGCGACCUAAUCGUUGAGCCGCGGGAGAUACUACUAGGCUAGGAGGCGGGAGAGGCCGACGGUAUUCUCGGGGUAGGGGUGAAAUCCUAUAAUCCCGGGAGGACCACCAGUGGCGAAGGCUGUCGGCUAGAACGCGCUCGACGGUGAGGGACGAAAGCUGGGGGAGCGAACCGGAUUAGAUACCCGGGUAGUCCCAGCUGUAAACGAUGCGGGCUAGGUGUUGGGGUGGCUACGAGCCACUUCAGUGCCGCAGGGAAGCCAUUAAGCCCGCCGCCUGGGGAGUACGGCCGCAAGGCUGAAACUUAAAGGAAUUGGCGGGGGAGCAC